ACAUUGCAGAUGUUUUACGUUAAAAAUUCCUUAGCAAUGAUUGCAUCAAUAACAAAACAAAAUUACAAUUGUCGACUAUUUGCUCACCAGUUCUGUUUCAGCCACAAUUCGCUUCGUACUUAUUUACAUUUGCAGUGGAACUUCAACAUGAUAAAAGUGCCUUGUACCUUUUUCAGCGCAUUGUUCGGAUGCGGUGUCCGAUCGGUGGAUAGAAAUGAUUCUAUUGAUGACGAACCAUCAGAGCCAUCAGAGUCAGGCGGUUUAUCAUUGGUUCCAACACCAGAUUUUAUUGAAUUCAUUGAGGAAUUUCUGAGUUUACCAGAAGAUCCACAACUGGUUAAAGAUUAAAUUUGGAUAAACUGCACAUCAGCAGCAUUGUAUACAGUUGCGAAAAAUAAACGAUUUUUUAUUGAGUUCGAUUG
Bradysia coprophila is the source of this 422-nucleotide long non-coding RNA. The record is from RefSeq and is a predicted model, not a curated record. NCBI's taxonomy places the organism in Eukaryota, Metazoa, Arthropoda, Insecta, Diptera, Sciaridae.